Small nucleolar RNA from Octodon degus (degu), 102 nucleotides. RefSeq annotates it as small nucleolar RNA U13. NCBI's taxonomy places the organism in Eukaryota, Metazoa, Chordata, Mammalia, Rodentia, Octodontidae. The record is from RefSeq and is a predicted model, not a curated record. The transcript has a single exon.
AUUCUUCAGUUCAUGAGCAUGAUGACUGGGUGUUCAUGCCAUAUGCAUUAGCUAUGCCUCCCUCAAAUCUCGUUGUGAUUCAGGCACACUACCUGUCUGAUA